CUGCGAAUGGCUCAUUAAAUCAGUUAUAGUUUAUUUGAUAAUUCUAUACUACUUGGAUAACCGUGGUAAUUCUAGAGCUAAUACAUGCUUAAAAGGCCUGACUUCAGGAAAGGCCGUAUUUAUUAGAUAAAAGACCAAUGCUGACAACAGCUUGAUUUGGUGAUUCAUAAUAACUUUUCGAAUUGCAUGGCCUUGAGCCUGCGAUGGUUCAUUCAAAUUUCUGCCCUAUCAAUUUUCGAUGGUAGGAUAGAGGCCUACCAUGGUUUUUACGGGUAACGGGGAAUUAGGGUUCGAUUCCGGAGAGGGAGCCUGAGAAACGGCUACCACAUCCAAGGAAGGCAGCAGGUGCGCAAAUUACCCAAUCCCAAUACGGGGAGGUAGUGACAAUAAAUAACAAUCCAGGGCCAUUUAGGGUCUUGGAAUUGGAAUGAGUACAAUUUAAAUUCCUUAAUGAUUAACAAUUGGAGGGCAAGUCUGGUGCCAGCAGCCGCGGUAAUUCCAGCUCCAAUAGCGUAUAUUAAAGUUGUUGCAGUUAAAAAGCUCGUAGUUGAAUUUCAGCUCUGGCUGAGCAGUCCACCAUUGGCUGGCAUUGUUCUGGCUGGGGUUCACCUUCUGGUGAGCCAGUAUGUUCUUUACUGAGUAUGCUGGGGAACCAGGACUUUUACUUUGAAAAAAUUAGAGUGUUUAAAGCAGGCCUAUGCUUGAAUACAUUAGCAUGGAAUAAUAGAAUAGGACUCCGGUUCUAUUUUGUUGGUUCUUUAGGACCGAGGUAAUGAUUAAUAGGGAUAGUUGGGGGCAUUAGUAUUUAGUAGCUAGAGGUGAAAUUCUUGGAUUUACGACAGACUAACUUCUGCGAAAGCAUUUGCCAAGGAUGUUUUCAUUAAUCAAGAACGAAAGUUAGGGGAUCGAAGACGAUCAGAUACCGUCGUAGUCUUAACCAUAAACUAUGCCGACUAGGGAUCAGACGAUGUUAAUUUACUGACUCGUUUGGCACCUUAUGAGAAAUCAAAGUUUUUGGGUUCCGGGGGGAGUAUGGUCGCAAGGCUGAAACUUAAAGGAAUUGACGGAAGGGCACCACCAGGAGUGGAGCCUGCGGCUUAAUUUGACUCAACACGGGGAAACUCACCAGGGUCCAGACAUAGUAAGGAUUGACAGAUUGAGAGCUCUUUCUUGAUUCUAUGGGUGGUGGUGUAUGGCCGCUCUUAGUUGGUAAAGUGAUUUGUCUGCUUAAUUAUAUUAACGAACAACACCUUAACCUGCUAAUUAGCUAUACCAACUUGUGUUGGUAGCCAGCUUCUUAGAGGGACUAUUGGCGAUUAGCCGAUGGAAGUUUGAGGCAAUAACAGGUCUGUAAUGCCCCUAGAUGUCCUGGGCCGCACGCGCGCUACACUGAUGAAGUCAAUGAGUUUAUAACCUUGGCUGGAAGGUCUGGGUAAUCUUUUGAAACUUCAUCGUGCUGGGGAUAGAGCUUUGCAAUUAUUGCUCUUCAACGAGGAAUUCCUAGUAAGCGUGAGUCAUUAGCUUGCGCUGAUUAUGUCCCUGCCCUUUGUACACACCGCCCGUCACUACUACCGAUUGAAUGGCUUAGUGAGUCCCUCGGAUCAAUCUUCGGCUGUUAGAAACAGCAACCGGAUACCUGAGAGGUUGGGCAAACUUGGUCAUUUUAGAGGA
RNAcentral lists this ribosomal RNA (1671 nucleotides) under Mucoromycotina sp. Its description in RNAcentral is "SSU rRNA". It matches the Rfam family "Eukaryotic small subunit ribosomal RNA". Lineage: Eukaryota; Fungi; Mucoromycota. The record is from RNAcentral.